This 29-nucleotide non-coding RNA is filed under the name Rattus norvegicus (Norway rat). The record is from RNAcentral. Lineage: Eukaryota; Metazoa; Chordata; Mammalia; Rodentia; Muridae.
UGCCAACCAUUAACACAGGCACACAGAAA